UGGCUCAGUUGGUAGAGCAUGGCACUUGCAAGGCCAGGGUUGUGGGUUUGAUCAUUCCCAC
Molecule: transfer RNA, 61 nt
Filed under: Salmo salar (Atlantic salmon)
Lineage: Eukaryota; Metazoa; Chordata; Actinopteri; Salmoniformes; Salmonidae
Also listed under: 2 other names
Rfam family: tRNA
About the family: Transfer RNA (tRNA) molecules are approximately 80 nucleotides in length. Their secondary structure includes four short double-helical elements and three loops (D, anti-codon, and T loops).
Source: Rfam by way of RNAcentral